RNAcentral lists this ribosomal RNA (508 nucleotides) under uncultured bacterium. RNAcentral's name for it is "partial 16S ribosomal RNA". It matches the Rfam family "Bacterial small subunit ribosomal RNA", at positions 30 to 523 of the family's 1533-position model. The record is from RNAcentral.
ACUGAACGCUGGCGGCAUGCCUUACACAUGCAAGUCGAACGGCAGCGGGGGAGAAGCUUGCUUUUCCUGCCGGCGAGUGGCGAACGGGUGAGUAAUACAUCGGAACGUGCCCUGUAGUGGGGGAUAACUAGUCGAAAGAUUAGCUAAUACCGCAUACGACCUGAGGGUGAAAGUGGGGGACCGCAAGGCCUCAUGCUAUAGGAGCGGCCGAUGUCUGAUUAGCUAGUUGGUGGGGUAAAGGCCUACCAAGGCGACGAUCAGUAGCUGGUCUGAGAGGACGAUCAGCCACACUGGGACCGAGACACGGCCCAGACUCCUACGGGAGGCAGCAGUGGGGAAUUUUGGAAAAUGGGCGAAAGCCUGAUCCAGCAAUGCCGCGUGUGUGAAGAAGGCCUUCGGGUUGUAAAGCACUUUUGUCCGGAAAGAAAUGGCUCUGGUUAAUACCUGGGGUCGAUGACGGUACCGGAAGAAUAAGGACCGGCUAACUACGUGCCAGCAGCCGCCGUAA